This is a long non-coding RNA of Phyllostomus hastatus (greater spear-nosed bat), 1291 nucleotides long. RefSeq lists it as uncharacterized. The transcript is spliced from 3 exons. The record is from RefSeq and is a predicted model, not a curated record. NCBI's taxonomy places the organism in Eukaryota, Metazoa, Chordata, Mammalia, Chiroptera, Phyllostomidae.
GCUCACCACAUAAAGUCCAGUUCCCUCUGGCCUCUGUAGGUUGGCUAUCACCAAGGAACCUGUGCCUCCUCUGAGACAAAGGCACCACUUCAGUAACAGUCAUAAAAGAUGUUCAGCAAGCUUGGAUUCCUCCAGUUUAUCCAGGUCUUCUCCCUGGGGUUGGUAACCAAUGAGGGUAAUGAUUGAAGAAAGGCACCAGUUGCCUCUGCCCUGCUACCCUGAAUUCAAAUUCUAUUAAUCAGCUUCCUUAAUUGGCCAGCUCCAGGGAAUGAGCCAAGGUACCAAUGGACUACUUUUUGGGAAGCUCUGGAAAGCUCACUGAACAGUUUUCUAACAACUCUGCCAGGGCCGCAUCUCCUACGAAGAUCUCGCCUCCCCACUGAAGACCCUGGCCCAGCCUUCUGCAGUGCCACACUCCGUGUAUUUGACAAGCUGAGUUGGACACUCCGUGUGGCAGAGUGUCAGUUUGUCAAAUACCCCAAGUGCGGCAUGUGCCUAGCAACUUCAGGCCAGGGCACUUCAGAUACAACAAAUAGACUAUCAGCUGGAUAAGGAACAUACGGAAAACACCAACUAAGCUCUCACAAGUUAUUUUUGGUAACUUUGAGUGAAUGUAAGCAUUUUAUCUGAGGUUACUAAUGGAAAAAUCAGGCAGCUCUGGGAGCCACAGUCCUGGGUGGGUUCUGCACACACUGUGGGAGUCUGAGGUGGGCACAGUUGUCUUAAAAAGGUAUCCAGGGCCUGGAAAUGUAAGUGCUACUUGAUUCAUUGUUUUUUCCUUCACAUUCCCCUUCCAGCAUCUGCCAGCAAAGACACCAGAAGUCUCAGACAAGUGCCAUGGCAAGGCUUAGAAACCCACUUUCCUGAAAGCCAGCCUUGGCUCUAAACACGCUUUGACAUCACCCAUCUCUCUUUUGCCUCAUGCUUUUUCUCCUGAGAAUACCCUCUACAUUUCUUUCUACCUAUCCAAUUCCUUUUCACAUUUCCUUGCCUAGACAGAAUCCAGUCUCUCAAGUGACUUUUGAAAGUCAAAUUACACUUUCUUUUUUCAUUCUCAAAUCACUUUUUGCCUGGUUCCUUUUAUGUACCCCUUUAUCUCCUACUGCCUAAUGAUACCACUUGAAUUGUUAGUGAACUUUUCCAGAGGAUAUUUUUGAAUUCCCCACUAGGUUGUGUGCUUCUAGAGGACAAGACUGUGUUUCCUUGAUUGCUGUCUCAAUUCCACCCCAAACCCAACCACUAGCACAAUGUUCUGGUUGUAGAAAAUACUCAAUAAAUGUUCAUUGAUUGA